RNAcentral lists this ribosomal RNA (465 nucleotides) under Vreelandella stevensii. Its description in RNAcentral is "partial 16S ribosomal RNA". It matches the Rfam family "Bacterial small subunit ribosomal RNA", at positions 338 to 795 of the family's 1533-position model. The record is from RNAcentral. Lineage: Bacteria; Pseudomonadati; Pseudomonadota; Gammaproteobacteria; Oceanospirillales; Halomonadaceae.
CCUACGGGCGGCAGCAGUGGGGAAUAUUGGACAAUGGGCGAAAGCCUGAUCCAGCCAUGCCGCGUGUGUGAAGAAGGCCUUCGGGUUGUAAAGCACUUUCAGUGGGGAAGAAAGCCUUGGGGCUAAUACCCUCGAGGAAGGACAUCACCCACAGAAGAAGCACCGGCUAACUCCGUGCCAGCAGCCGCGGUAAUACGGAGGGUGCGAGCGUUAAUCGGAAUUACUGGGCGUAAAGCGCGCGUAGGCGGUCUGAUAAGCCGGUUGUGAAAGCCCCGGGCUCAACCUGGGAACGGCAUCCGGAACUGUCAGGCUAGAGUGCAGGAGAGGAAGGUAGAAUUCCCGGUGUAGCGGUGAAAUGCGUAGAGAUCGGGAGGAAUACCAGUGGCGAAGGCGGCCUUCUGGACUGACACUGACGCUGAGGUGCGAAAGCGUGGGUAGCAAACAGGAUUAGAUCCCCGUGUAGUC